UCCGUUGUCGUCUAUUCCGGUCAGAUGCCUGGCUUUCAUCCAGGCGACCCUAGUUCAAAUCCCGUCAACGGAA
This 73-nucleotide transfer RNA is filed under the name Selaginella moellendorffii. It matches the Rfam family "tRNA". Rfam says of the family: Transfer RNA (tRNA) molecules are approximately 80 nucleotides in length. Their secondary structure includes four short double-helical elements and three loops (D, anti-codon, and T loops). Lineage: Eukaryota; Viridiplantae; Streptophyta; Lycopodiopsida; Selaginellales; Selaginellaceae. The record is from Rfam by way of RNAcentral.